AACGCUAGCUACAGGCUUAACACAUGCAAGUCGAGGGGCAGCAUUGGAGUAGCAAUACUUCAGAUGGCGACCGGCGCACGGGUGAGUAACACGUAUCCAACCUGCCGCUUACUCGGGGAUAGCCUUUCGAAAGAAAGAUUAAUACCCGAUGGUAUAAAGAGUUCGCAUGUUCUCUUUAUUAAAGAAUUUCGGUAAGCGAUGGGGAUGCGUUCCAUUAGAUAGUUGGCGGGGUAACGGCCCACCAAGUCUACGAUGGAUAGGGGUUCUGAGAGGAAGGUCCCCCACAUUGGAACUGAGACACGGUCCAAACUCCUACGGGAGGCAGCAGUGAGGAAUAUUGGUCAAUGGACGCGAGUCUGAACCAGCCAAGUAGCGUGAAGGAUGACUGCCCUAUGGGUUGUAAACUUCUUUUAUGCGGGGAUAAAGUGAGGGACGCGUCCCUUUUUGCAGGUACCGCAUGAAUAAGGACCGGCUAAUUCCGUGCCAGCAGCCGCGGUAAUACGGAAGGUCCGGGCGUUAUCCGGAUUUAUUGGGUUUAAAGGGAGCGUAGGCCGGCUUUUAAGCGUGUUGUGAAAUGCCGCGGCUCAACCGUGGCACUGCAGCGCGAACUGGAGGCCUUGAGUGCGCGGGAGGUAGGCGGAAUUCGUGGUGUAGCGGUGAAAUGCUUAGAUAUCACGAAGAACUCCGAUUG
RNAcentral lists this ribosomal RNA (691 nucleotides) under uncultured bacterium. RNAcentral's name for it is "bacterial SSU rRNA". It matches the Rfam family "Bacterial small subunit ribosomal RNA", at positions 32 to 715 of the family's 1533-position model. The record is from RNAcentral.